Molecule: microRNA precursor, 62 nt
Filed under: Pteropus alecto (black flying fox)
Lineage: Eukaryota; Metazoa; Chordata; Mammalia; Chiroptera; Pteropodidae
Description: microRNA pal-mir-28 precursor
Gene: pal-mir-28
Rfam family: mir-28 microRNA precursor family
Source: miRBase by way of RNAcentral
AAGGAGCUCACAGUCUAUUGAGUUGCUUUUCUGACUUUCCCACUAGAUUGUGAGCUCCUGGA